Molecule: ribosomal RNA, 455 nt
Filed under: uncultured bacterium
Lineage: Bacteria
Description: bacterial SSU rRNA
Rfam family: Bacterial small subunit ribosomal RNA
Source: RNAcentral
UACGGAAGGCAGCAGGGGGAAUAUUGCACAAUGGGCGAAAGCCUGAUGCAGCUAUGCCGCGUGUAUGAAGAAGGCCUUAGGGUUGUAAAGUACUUUCAUCGGGGAGGAAAAAACAAAACUAAUAAUUUUAUUUCUUGACGUUACCCGAAAAAGAAGCACCGGCUAACUCCGUGCCAGCAGCCGCGGUAAUACGGAGGGUGCUAGCGUUAAUCAGAAUUACUGGGCGUAAAGAGCACGUAGGUGGUUUUUUUAAGUCAGAUGUGAAAUCCCUGGGCUUAACCUGGAACUGCAUUUUGAAACUGAAAUACUAGAGUAUCGUAGAGGGAGGUAGAAUUCUAGGUGUAGCGGUGAAAUGCGUAGAUAUCUGGAGGAAUACCUGUGGCGAAAGCGGCCUCCUAAACGAAUACUGACGCUGAGGGUGCGAAAGCGUGGGGAGCAAACAGGGAUUAGAUACC